Long non-coding RNA from Ruditapes philippinarum (Manila clam), 617 nucleotides. RefSeq lists it as uncharacterized. The transcript is spliced from 4 exons. Lineage: Eukaryota; Metazoa; Mollusca; Bivalvia; Venerida; Veneridae. The record is from RefSeq and is a predicted model, not a curated record.
AAAUGGUGGCGCUGUUUGGAAGAUUUGAAAACAACACGAUUGGCAAUUUAUUUGGAUUUGAAGAUCCUGGUCCUGGCUGAAAUUUAGAGUAUUGCAGCUGUAGCCUGUAUACCAUACAUUCAACAUGAAAAGGACUGUCAGGAUGCUGCAUAAAAUGGUCUUAGCUAGAGCCUAGAAUGUUAAUUUCUUGGGAAUAUGCUACAAGGAACUGACGGGAGCAGUUUUUCUUACCAAUCAUAGAAGCAGUAAGAGACAGCCAAAGAAGUACUCAAACACUUGACAAACCCAGAAAGAUCUAGAAGAAAAGAUUGGAACAGAUUGUAGCUUAAUUGUUAAAACUAUUAAAGUGAAUUUAAACUGCACUUGAACUGUAUUGUUGAAAUAAAAUAUCUGAAGUAUUUAAUAUUGUCUUGAUAUUUUGUUAAACUUGGUUACUUUGCUUUAUAUCCAAAAGUUAAAGAAUGGUGGGUUUUCAACGUUGAAAUGACAUUUAAACUUCAACGUUGUGACAACGUUGAAGCUGCAACGUUGUAUCAACGUUGAAAUUUCAACGUUGUUUCAACUUUCAAAUCCGAAUAUAAAUCCAACCUUAUUUCAACGUUGAAAUCUGACCAUAA